RNAcentral lists this non-coding RNA (28 nucleotides) under Homo sapiens (human). Lineage: Eukaryota; Metazoa; Chordata; Mammalia; Primates; Hominidae. The record is from RNAcentral.
UGAUGACCAGCUCUACUUCUAACAGCUA